Molecule: ribosomal RNA, 284 nt
Filed under: Salmonella enterica subsp. enterica serovar Derby
Lineage: Bacteria; Pseudomonadati; Pseudomonadota; Gammaproteobacteria; Enterobacterales; Enterobacteriaceae
Description: partial 16S ribosomal RNA
Rfam family: Bacterial small subunit ribosomal RNA
Source: RNAcentral
UUAAAUUGAAGAGUUUGAUCAUGGCUCAGAUUGAACGCUGGCGGCAGGCCUAACACAUGCAAGUCGAACGGUAACAGGAAGCAGCUUGCUGCUUUGCUGACGAGUGGCGGACGGGUGAGUAAUGUCUGGGAAACUGCCUGAUGGAGGGGGAUAACUACUGGAAACGGUGGCUAAUACCGCAUAACGUCGCAAGACCAAAGAGGGGGACCUUCGGGCCUCUUGCCAUCAGAUGUGCCCAGAUGGGAUUAGCUUGUUGGUGAGGUAACGGCUCACCAAGGCGACGA